RNAcentral lists this ribosomal RNA (508 nucleotides) under uncultured bacterium. Its description in RNAcentral is "bacterial SSU rRNA". It matches the Rfam family "Bacterial small subunit ribosomal RNA", at positions 16 to 518 of the family's 1533-position model. The record is from RNAcentral.
AUCCUGGCUUAGGAUGAACGCUAGCGGCAGGCUUAACACAUGCAAGUCGAGGGGCAUCGGGAGUAGCAAUACUGCCGGCGACCGGCGCAAGGGUGCGUAACGCGUGAGCAACAUGCCCGUAUCAGGGGGAUAAUCCAUGGAAACGUGGUCUAAUACCCCAUAGUAAUUAUGUAAGGCAUCUUAUAUAAUUUAAAGCUUUGGUGGAUACGGAUUGGCUCGCGUGACAUUAGCUGGAUGGUAAGGUAACGGCUUACCAUGGCUACGAUGUCUAGGGGUUCUGAGAGGAAGGUCCCCCCACACUGGAACUGAGACACGGUCCAGACUCCUACGGGAGGCAGCAGUGAGGAAUAUUGGACAAUGGAUGGAAAUCUGAUCCAGCCAUGCCGCGUGCAGGAAAGACGGCCCUAUGGGUUGUAAACUGCUUUUGUAUGGGAGCAAUAAGGGCUACGUGUAGUCCGAUGAGAGUACCAUACGAAUAAGCACCGGCUAACUCCGUGCCAGCAGCUGC